Molecule: ribosomal RNA, 112 nt
Organism: Lepisosteus oculatus (spotted gar)
Lineage: Eukaryota; Metazoa; Chordata; Actinopteri; Semionotiformes; Lepisosteidae
Source: Rfam
AUCAGCAGCCAUAUCACUCUGCAACUCACAACCCACUGAAGGUAAGCAGGUGUGAGCCUGGUCAGUACCUGGAUGGGAGACCUCCUAGGAAACAGUAAAGUUGCUGCUGGUU